CCUUAGCCGCUAGAGCUACAGGCACAGGGCCUAGAGCCUUUUUCAAAAGAAUAAAAAAGGACUUUGUCAUUAGCUUGACUUGGGUCUGUGAGGUCUUUCUUACCUGCUGCUGGGUCCUAAGCCCACCCAGGACCUGCUAUCUCUCUGACAACAGGGAAUGCUGCUGGGUGCUGUCUCUGGGAGCCUUCCCAGCAAAGUUUUUCUAUGUCAGGGGCAGGCAGGCAUGGAGGAGCACCUACCUAGUCCAGCAAGGUUACUCUUCAACUAGAAGGACACCUAAACCCUAACCUCCAGGGAAGAUGGGCCUGACCAGCCCUCAGCAGGGGAGCCCAGACAUCAUACAGGGCUGCCUUUAGCUGGGCUUGCUACCUUAGGGACCACAAACCCCUGCCCUUUCGGCCUGUCAGAACAUUUCUAUGCCCCCCCCCUUUUUUUUCUUGAGAUGGUGUCUUUCUCUGAAGUGCAAUGGCUCAAUCACAGUUCACUGCAGCCUUGAAUCCUGGCCUCAAGUGAUCCUCCCUUCACUCCUGGCCUUGGGAGCCCUUUUGAGGGCUUCUGGGCCCAACCUUUGACUUCAGAUGUGGCAUGUUGGGGCUAGAUGUUUGGGCUUGACCACCAGUGGUUUAAGUGAAGGCCAGGUGCUACUGGGCUCUGAUCCAUUCACCACAUCCCCACACCAGGGCCUGCCUUCCCCACUUUUCCCAUUCUAACUCACCUGCCUGGUCCUGCCCCAUCCUUCCUUUAGAACACACGUCCUCUGGCAGCAGGCCCCCCCAGCACCCUGUCUGCUGCUGGAGUGUGUGAAUGAUCAUAAGCAAGGCCACUAGCAGAAGCCAGGGCACACUGUGGGCUGCACAAACUGGGACCACACUAGCCCUGAAGGACAUGCUCUGGUUGGUGGGGGUGCAAUGGGAGUUGGGAGGGCAGUCAGUGAGGUAUCAGGUUGGCCAAUGAGGGCUCUUCCCAGGGUCCAUGCUCAGGCCUGGACUCCCUGGACAUGGCUAAUCCGGGGUCUGGGCAGCUCCUUCCAUACUUCAUACCAAUCCCCCCUCCCUCUCAAGCCUUGUUCUUCUCACAAGUCUAGCCCAGCCCUUCAGAAGAGGCAGCUGGGGAAGAUAGGUGGGGCUGUGUCCUUCAGCAUUACUGAGGACAGGAUACAGGGCCAAGGAGCCACGUGAGAGGAGGGACAGCCUGGCUACUCCUGGAUCAGAAGCUUCCCUGAGGGUUCUCAGCAGGCUUGGGGGGCCCGGGCAGCCACACAGGCCCAUAGGGCCCUGGCGCUGGCACAGCCAGGAGAACAGACUAAGGUCCUGGUGGCAGCACCCUCUCAGCCUGGUGCAUGUCUCUUCAGGUGGUGGUGGGGAGACCUGUGGCUUUCUCCCUGUAGAUGGCCAGGAGCAGCUCUGCACAGAGGUCUCUUGGGACCUGGUCUCUGAGCAGCCCUUGGGCUGGGAGGAAGGAACCCGGAGGCAAAGAUCAGUGGGAGGUGGGAACCCUGGGUUUCUACCUCUGCUCUGACGAGUCCAGGCUUUUGGGCCUCUAGCUCCCAAGAGGUCACACAUUGUCUCUGGGGCACUGGCUCUGUGGGGUCUUGGGCAGAAACCACUGCUCUACCCACACUGCCUGGGAUUAUGGAGGUAAGUGCUCCCUUACGUGGGAUGACUUAGCCAAGCUGGGCCUCCCUCCCCUAUCUCCUUCAUCCUGCCCUUGGAUUGGUAAGUGGCUGCCCCUCCAAGGCACUAGGGGUGCACCUCACACCCUGGGUGGGACAUGGAGUUGAGUACAACCAAUGCUCCCAUCCCUUGGGGUGGAAGGGAUUCCCAGGACAUCAUGUCUCUUCCCAUAUCCAAGGCCCAGUCCCAAGAUCCAAGCUAGGAGUGACCCCUUAGACUGGUCCAGGCCUCUCCAAAGCCUUAGCACAGCCUCCCGGAAAGUAAGUGGAAAAUCCUUGCUUCCUACGUCUAUACCCAGCACCCUGCAGCACGGAAACCUCCACAGCGCCUAUCAAAGGUAGAGCCCACCAUGCUCCCAGGAAGGGGCUGGCACAGCGCCAGUCACCCGCAAGGCCCGUGGGUCAAAGCCUCGCCCACAGUCUUACCUGGCCUCAGGCAGCGGCUGGCCUUCCCCGGCCCCAGGGCUUUCACCAACCUUGGCUUAAGGCCACGUGGGGUGGAGCGGUGGCUUCUGCCGGCUCCACCCCUGCUUCACGGCGCCCGCCCGGGCCAGUUUCCCAAAGGGCCAGAACGCCGCCUCUGCCGAGUGCCCCUGGGUCUGCCGGAACCGUGCGGGCCCUUUAAGGGCUGGGGGCGUGUAGCGGGCCCGCCCCCUCCCCGUAGCGCCGGCCGCGGGUUAAAUGCGACCCCAGGCAGAGCGCACCGGAGCUGGUUGCGGGUGUGUGUCCCAGGAAGCACGAGGCGCGUCCCCCACACGCGGAAGCCGGCGCGCCAUGUACACCCUCACCAAGGGGCCCAGCAAGCUGGUCGCGCAGCGUCGCACAGGUCCCACGCAGCAGCAGGUGGAGAGCAGGCUCGGCGAGCUUUUGAAAUGCCGGCAGCCCACGCCGCCGACCGCGCCACCCCCGCAGGAGCAACCCUUCGUGCAGCCGCCGGGACCCUGGCCCCUGUCGAGCAUGGAGGACCCUGCGGAUGGGUUUUCGCCGACCAGCUCCUGUAUCACAAGCGCCCUGAGCGACCUUGGGCUACGCGCUUGCAUCCCUUUGGGGCACACCCAGGUCAAGUGCCCCUCUCACCUGAGGAGGAACCCAGAGCGGCGGUGGGGCACCUGAACCCAGGAAAGCAAGCAGGCCGGCCGGGACCGCGAGUGCCUGGCGGAGUGGCAGGCGCAGCUCAGGACUCCCGGCUCCCACCUCCUGUUAUAGUCCGGGGCCAAGGCUUGUGUUCAAUCGUGUGAACGGCCGGCGGCCCCCUGCCACGUCCCCAUCUCUUGAGGGGACCCAGGAGACCUACACACUGGCCCACGAGGAGAACGUCCGCUUUGUGUCCGAAGCCUGGCAGCAGGUGAAACAGCAGCUGGAUGGUGGCCCAGCCGGUGAGAGUGGGCCGCGGCCUGUGCAGUACGUGGAGAGGACCCCCAAUCCCCGGCUACAGA
Molecule: RNA transcript, 3108 nt
Organism: Nycticebus coucang (slow loris)
Lineage: Eukaryota; Metazoa; Chordata; Mammalia; Primates; Lorisidae
Gene: MCRIP2
Gene name: MAPK regulated corepressor interacting protein 2
Exons: 8
Source: RefSeq, a predicted model, not a curated record